RNAcentral lists this ribosomal RNA (301 nucleotides) under uncultured bacterium. RNAcentral describes it as "partial 16S ribosomal RNA". It matches the Rfam family "Bacterial small subunit ribosomal RNA", at positions 509 to 807 of the family's 1533-position model. The record is from RNAcentral.
CAGCCGCCGCGGGAAUACGUAGGGCGCAAGCGUUGUCCGGAAUUAUUGGGCGUAAAGAGCUCGUAGGCGGUCUGUCGCGUCUGGUGUGAAAUCCCGAGGCUCAACCUCGGGCUUGCAUCGGGUACGGGCAGACUAGAGUGCGGUAGGGGAGACUGGAAUUCCUGGUGUAGCGGUGGAAUGCGCAGAUAUCAGGAGGAACACCGAUGGCGAAGGCAGGUCUCUGGGCCGCAACUGACGCUGAGGAGCGAAAGCAUGGGGAGCGAACAGGAUUAGAUACUCCAGUAGUCCCUGUCUCUUAUAC